RNAcentral lists this transfer RNA (67 nucleotides) under Euschistus heros (neotropical brown stinkbug). Its description in RNAcentral is "tRNA-Met". Lineage: Eukaryota; Metazoa; Arthropoda; Insecta; Hemiptera; Pentatomidae. The record is from RNAcentral.
AGAAAGGUAAGCUAAGUUGAAGCUAAUAGGUUCAUACCCUAUUUAUAGAUUUAAAAUCUCCUCUCUA